CCUACGGGAGGCAGCAGUGAGGAAUAUUGGUCAAUGGGCGCGAGCCUGAACCAGCCAAGUCGCGUGAAGGAUGACUGCCCUACGGGUUGUAAACUUCUUUUAUAAAGGAAUAAAGUGAGGCACGUGUGCCUUUCUGUAUGUUAUUUAUGAAUAAGGCACGGCUAAAGCCGUUCCAGCAGCCGCGGUAAUACGGAGGAUCCGAGCGUUUACCGGCUUUAAUGGGUUUAAAGGGAGCGUAGAUGGGUUGUUAAGUCAGUCGUGAAAGUUUGCGGCUCAACCGCAAAAUUGCCAUUGAUACUGGCAGCCUUGAGUACAGGUGAGGUAGGCGGAAUUCGUGGUGUAGCGGUGAAAUGCUUAGAUAUCACGAAGAACCCCGAUUGCGAAGGCAGCCUACUAAAGUGCCACUGACAUUGAUGCACGAAAGUGUGGGUAUCAAACAGGAUUAGAUACCCCAGUAGUC
This 460-nucleotide ribosomal RNA is filed under the name uncultured bacterium. RNAcentral describes it as "partial 16S ribosomal RNA". It matches the Rfam family "Bacterial small subunit ribosomal RNA", at positions 338 to 795 of the family's 1533-position model. The record is from RNAcentral.